RNAcentral lists this transfer RNA (73 nucleotides) under Bacteriophage sp. Its description in RNAcentral is "tRNA-Lys". It matches the Rfam family "tRNA". Rfam says of the family: Transfer RNA (tRNA) molecules are approximately 80 nucleotides in length. The record is from RNAcentral.
GCGCCAUUAGCUCAGCUGGAAGAGCACUUGACUUUUAAUCAAGGCGUCGUGGGUUCGAAUCCCAUAUGGCGCA